Molecule: ribosomal RNA, 327 nt
Filed under: uncultured eukaryote
Lineage: Eukaryota
Description: partial 18S ribosomal RNA
Rfam family: Eukaryotic small subunit ribosomal RNA
Source: RNAcentral
CCCUUAGAUGUUCUGGGCCGCACGCGCGCUACACUGAUACAGGCAGCAAGUUAUAUUUCCCCUUGGCUGAGAGGCCUGGGUAAUCUUGUGAAAUUGUAUCGUGAUGGGGAUAGGUCACUGUAAUCGUUGACCUUUAACGAGGAAUUCCUAGUACGCGCAAGUCAUCAGCUUGCAUGGAUUACGUCCCUGCCCUUUGUACACACCGCCCGUCGCUCCUACCGAUUGAAUGUUCCGGUGAGCUCUUCGGACUGCGCGGUCUGCAGUUUCUGCGUUCCGUGCGGAAAGUUGCGCAAACCUUAACAUUUAGAGGAAGGAGAAGUCGUAACA